RNAcentral lists this ribosomal RNA (965 nucleotides) under uncultured bacterium. Its description in RNAcentral is "bacterial SSU rRNA". It matches the Rfam family "Bacterial small subunit ribosomal RNA", at positions 8 to 968 of the family's 1533-position model. The record is from RNAcentral.
AGAGUUUGAUCAUGGCUCAGAUUGAACGCUGGCGGCAUGCCUUACACAUGCAAGUCGAACGGCAGCACGGGUGCUUGCACCUGGUGGCGAGUGGCGAACGGGUGAGUAAUAUAUCGGAACGUACCUUAUCGUGGGGGAUAACGCAGCGAAAGCUGCGCUAAUACCGCAUACGCCCUGAGGGGGAAAGCGGGGGACCGUAAGGCCUCGCGCGAUUACAGCGGCCGAUAUCUGAUUAGCUUGUUGGUGGGGUAAAAGCCCACCAAGGCGACGAUCAGUAGCUGGUCUGAGAGGACGAUCAGCCACACUGGGACUGAGACACGGCCCAGACUCCUACGGGAGGCAGCAGUGGGGAAUUUUGGACAAUGGGGGCAACCCUGAUCCAGCAAUGCCGCGUGAGUGAAGAAGGCCUUCGGGUUGUAAAGCUCUUUUGUCAGGGAAGAAACAGCAGCUCUAACACAGACUGCGAAUGACGGUACCUGAAGAAUAAGCACCGGCUAACUACGUGCCAGCAGCCGCGGUAAUACGUAGGGUGCAAGCGUUAAUCGGAAUUACUGGGCGUAAAGCGUGCGCACGCGGUUAUACAAGACAGGCGUGAAAUCCCCGGGCUUAACCUGGGAAUGGCGCCUGUGACUGUAUGACUAGAGUGUGUCAGAGGGGGGUAGAAUUCCACGUGUAGCAGUGAAAUGCGUAGAUAUGUGGAGGAAUACCAAUGGCGAAGGCAGCCCCCUGGGAUAACACUGACGCUCGUGCACGAAAGCGUGUGGAGCAAACAGGAUUAGAUACCCUGGUAGUCCACGCCCUAAACGAUGCCGACUAGUUGUUGGGCAUUUACAUUCUCAGUAACGUAGCUAACGCGUGAAGUCGGCCGCCUGGGGAGUACGGUCGCAAGAUUAAAACUCAAAGGAAUUGACGGGGACCCGCACAAGCGGUGGAUGAUGUGGAUUAAUUCGAUGCAACGCGAAAAA